CUGAGUAAGCGGGCCUUGAUCCCACGACAUAUUAAUUAACAGCUAACUGCCCAAACCAGCGGGCUUUUACUCG
This 73-nucleotide transfer RNA is filed under the name Anolis bonairensis. RNAcentral's name for it is "tRNA-Asn". The record is from RNAcentral. Lineage: Eukaryota; Metazoa; Chordata; Lepidosauria; Squamata; Anolidae.